UUUUCCUCGGUCAAAUAAUUAAAAUAAGUUUUAGCUUUAUAAAGUAAAAAAUGAAGGUAGUGCAUAAAUCUAAUUAAAACAGAUGGAGCAUUUAAGAGAAAUCUCAACAAUAGGAAGCAAAAACACCUGAAAAUGUUGGAGAUCAUAAGAAGGUUAAGAAGGAACAGGUGAUGGUUCUUAAUGGUCUGAGCACAUACGGGAGCACCUGUAAUACUGGAGUGAAAGAAGCUUUAAGAUUGAAUAGUCAAUAAACUGUAUCUGCAAAGGAAGGUGUCCUGAUUUUCUAUUUCACUGACUGGCUUGGAUCCAGAUUGACAAAGUCCUCUUUCAGAUGCUGCCAGACCUGCUGAACUUCCAGCAACUUCUGUUGUUGUACCAGGACCGUGGACCUGCUUAAAUAAUGUAGGGUAUGUGUCCAGAGCAAGCUAUUCA
Rhincodon typus (whale shark) is the source of this 432-nucleotide long non-coding RNA. RefSeq lists it as uncharacterized. Lineage: Eukaryota; Metazoa; Chordata; Chondrichthyes; Orectolobiformes; Rhincodontidae. The transcript has 3 exons. The record is from RefSeq and is a predicted model, not a curated record.